RNAcentral lists this transfer RNA (82 nucleotides) under Chryseobacterium hagamense. RNAcentral describes it as "Chryseobacterium sp. RHA2-9 tRNA". It matches the Rfam family "tRNA". Rfam says of the family: Transfer RNA (tRNA) molecules are approximately 80 nucleotides in length. RNAcentral also lists the same sequence under 4 other names. Lineage: Bacteria; Pseudomonadati; Bacteroidota; Flavobacteriia; Flavobacteriales; Weeksellaceae. The record is from Rfam by way of RNAcentral.
GCGGAUGUGGUGUAAUUGGUAGCCACGCCAGAAUCAGGAUCUGGUGCCGCAAGGCAUGGGGGUUCGAGUCCCUUCAUCCGCA